CUAGCAAGAAACUCUGAUAGAGUUUUUAUACCCAGGAUUGAAAAGAAGAAUAAAACUAAGAAGAGAGGAGAAUGAGAAAGACUCAACUUGUUCUGUUUUGGAAUGGGGGAAGAACUCUCUAUUUAUAGAGCUAGGAAAGAAUAAAAUAAAUAAAAGAAAUUAAAACCAAUAAAUAAUUUGACCGUUGCAGCACUUAAAAAUUUGGCUGUUGGAAUAUUACCGUUGGAGCACAUUAUUGGCAAUUAAAGUUUUGAAAGUUGUAAUCCAACGUUUUCUUUUGCAAUAAUAUAAUCAUUAUUACAACAAUCCCCCACUUAUUGCAAAAGAAAGUUGAGAGAAUUUUUUUUUUAUCUUAGGUCUCAUAGGAUGUAAUGCAUCAGAACUGAUAUAACAAGCUAUAUGAACCAGUCUUAGAUUGAGAAACUUAACACACAAUGUAGUUGGUAUAGCAAGCUAUAUGAACCAAAGACACUUGACGUGUGUUAGAGGUUUAUCAAUCACAAUACACC
RNAcentral lists this long non-coding RNA (509 nucleotides) under Vigna radiata. RNAcentral's name for it is "long non-coding RNA (VRAD_LNC013891)". Lineage: Eukaryota; Viridiplantae; Streptophyta; Magnoliopsida; Fabales; Fabaceae. The record is from RNAcentral.